This 467-nucleotide ribosomal RNA is filed under the name uncultured bacterium. RNAcentral describes it as "partial 16S ribosomal RNA". It matches the Rfam family "Bacterial small subunit ribosomal RNA", at positions 28 to 507 of the family's 1533-position model. The record is from RNAcentral.
GACGAACGCUGGCGGCGUGCUUAACACAUGCAAGUCGAACGGAAAGGCCUCUUUCGGGGGGUACUCGGGUGGCGAACGGGUGAGUAACACGUGAGUAACUUGCCCUUGACUUUGGGAUAACUUCAGGAAACUGGGGCUAAUACCGGAUAGGAGCUCCUGCUGCAUGGUGGGGGUUGGAAAGUUUCGGCGGUUGGGGAUGGACUCGCGGCUUAACAGCUUGUUGGUGGGGGAAGGGCUUACCAAGGCUUUGACGGGUAGCCGGACUGAGAAGGUGACCGGCCACACUGGGACCGAGAUAAGGCCCAAGCUCCUAAGGGGGGCCACAGUGGGGAAGCUUGAACAAUGGGGGGAAGCCUGAUGCAGCAGCGCCGUGUGCGGGAUGACGGCCUUCGGGUUGUAAACCGCUUUCGCUCAUAACGAAGCUUUGUGUGACGGUAGUGGGUAAAGAAGCACCGGCUAACUACGUG